This 1758-nucleotide long non-coding RNA is filed under the name Gossypium barbadense (sea-island cotton). RNAcentral's name for it is "long non-coding RNA (GBAR_LNC004264)". Lineage: Eukaryota; Viridiplantae; Streptophyta; Magnoliopsida; Malvales; Malvaceae. The record is from RNAcentral.
UUCCCUUUCACUAUCAUAAAUAUGGAUGUUUGGUUACGGUAAGUUGAUUUUUUAGGGUUUAACAUGCACUAAAUUAUUGAAGAGGGUGUAGUACUCUAUUGAAUGUGAGCUUGAAAUUUAAAGAUCAGGAUGUGGAAUUGGAGUGCCAAGUUUCGAAAGCACUUUGUCCUCACUUGCCUUUGGUACUUGCUAUCAAAGGCAAAGCUUAUUACUAGUAUUAUUACUAUUGCAGUUACUAUAUACUUGACGUUGUUAAUGAGUUUGAAUGAAUAUGAUUUUUUAGGGUUGAACUAAUUGUUUGUUUUCUGUUGGUUCUGCUUAGUUCUUUCUUAGUGGCAGGCUUUGCCAAGGUCAGUCACAGCCUAGCUUGGCAUAGCCUAGCCUAGACAAUGCAAAAUGCAUAAAGUGAAGUUCCUGGAGUCCAAGUAGGGUGAAAUUUUGCCAGGCCGACUGUAUACCCAUUUCCCAGGUAAAUACACCCAUAGCUAGCUGAUAUUCCACCGUACACUGUAGCACCAGUGUUAUAUGUCCAUAGUAUGUUCCCUGUGUUGGUGUCGAUGGCAUAUAUGGGUCCGUUAGAAGCUACGGAACCUGUGAAAAGGACAUUGUUUGCCACCAUAACAGGUGCUUGGGCAGUGUCAUUGCUUGGGUUUGCCGUGGACCAUAUGAUUUCUCCUGUGUUGGCAUCUAAAGCUACCCAUGCUCCUGCUGUUGUUGUUUGGUUAGAAGGUGUGAGCAUGAAGCUUUUGCGGUCGCUGUUUGCUAUGUUGGUGUAAACUCUUCUCCCAUCUGUGGCUGCACCCCAUAGUCCUCCUCCUUCCUUCCCACCCGGACCUGCCAGCUGAGAAACUCAAAUUUUAAUUUAACAAAAAAAAUCCAAAUGUGUCAUGUGACUAGAAUCUCUUUUUGUUCAUGCUUACAUUAAGCCAGACUAUAUCACCAUUGUCACGGUCUAAAGCCCAGGCAAAGCCACUCUUCUGCACUGCAACUGCAACAUCACGAGAUGUUCCAUUAGACCUUAUAGUGAGGAGCAUUGGAGCUUCUCCAAAGUCUGCAUCUAAAUUAGGACCCGGAGGGCAGUCAGUGUUGUUUGGAACUAAACAAGCGAAAUAAAAAAUGUCAUAGCCCCCCAAUUGCCUGGACCAUCUGAUCCUUCCAGAAUCGAUAUCCAGUGCUACAAUCGAGUUGUAGUUUGUAUCAGGGCCUAUCAGGAUGACUUGGUUUAGCUGUCUGAUUGUUUUGCUCCUCUUGACAUUUCAAAACUUCAGCAGGAGCUGUGUAGAGGUUCCCAGUGGCCACAUAAACUAAUCUCCUAUUUGUAUCGAUUGCAGGGCUGCUUCCCCAUACAGCUGCUCCCGCAUAUCCUCCCAACCUGCCUCCAUUAUCUGGAAGCAUAUAGGUUUUCCAUAACAUUGCCCCAGUUCGUAGGGCUAGCUUUACAACGCUGCCUCUGAAAGUGCAGCAUUGCUCUGGUGGUAAUCCUUCCUCUAGAGAUGAAACUCCUACAUAGUAGGCCCUGCAAGCAAAUCAGGUAAAUAAAAUCAUUAGCAAACAAGAAACACUGGAAACGCAGAUCUAAAGGCGACUAACCCCAUGUGAACUGUUCCAGAUCCUGUGAUCAGAACCCUGGGACAGGGAUCUAGUGUAGUAGACCAAACAAGUCUCCCAUUUGAUCGUGCAACAGCAAUCACUACCGCUGGUCCAUAUAUCCCUACAAUCAACAGGUCCCCAUCAACUGUCGGGGUCGAUCUCGAGACC